CAGCAGCCACGGUAAUACGAAGGGGGCUAGCGUUGCUCGGAAUGACUGGGCGUAAAGGGCGCGUAGGCGGCGAUCAAAGUCAGGCGUGAAAUUCCUGGGCUCAACCUGGGGGCUGCGUUUGAUACUUGAUUGCUAGAGUGGGGAAGAGGGUCGUGGAAUUCCCAGUGUAGAGGUGAAAUCCGUAGAUAUUGGGAAGAACACCGGUGGCGAAGGCGGCGACCUGGUCCUUGACUGACGCUGAGGCGCGAAAGCGUGGGGAGCAAACAGGAUUAGAGACCCCAGUAGUCCCUGUCUCUUAUCC
Molecule: ribosomal RNA, 301 nt
Filed under: uncultured bacterium
Lineage: Bacteria
Description: partial 16S ribosomal RNA
Rfam family: Bacterial small subunit ribosomal RNA
Source: RNAcentral